AUUGAACGCUGGCGGCAUGCUUUACACAUGCAAGUCGAACGGUAACAGGCCGCAAGGUGCUGACGAGUGGCGAACGGGUGAGUAAUGCAUCGGAACGUGCCCAGUCGUGGGGGAUAACUACUCGAAAGAGUAGCUAAUACCGCAUACGAUCUAUGGAUGAAAGCGGGGGACCGUAAGGCCUCGCGCGAUUAGAGCGGCCGAUGUCAGAUUAGGUAGUUGGUGGGGUAAAGGCUCACCAAGCCAACGAUCUGUAGCUGGUCUGAGAGGACAACCAGCCACACUGGGACUGAGACACGGCCCAGACUCCUACGGGAGGCAGCAGUGGGGAAUUUUGGACAAUGGGCGCAAGCCUGAUCCAGCAAUGCCGCGUGCAGGAAGAAGGCCUUCGGGUUGUAAACUGCUUUUGUACGGAACGAAACGGCUCUGGUUAAUACCCGGGGCUAAUGACGGUACCGUAAGAAUAAGCACCGGCUAACUACGUG
This 482-nucleotide ribosomal RNA is filed under the name uncultured bacterium. RNAcentral describes it as "partial 16S ribosomal RNA". It matches the Rfam family "Bacterial small subunit ribosomal RNA", at positions 30 to 507 of the family's 1533-position model. The record is from RNAcentral.